ACUUAUGUAUCUAAUCUAUGUACAUGUAUUUUAAUAUAUAAUUAUAGAGAUGCUGACGAUAGUGCAAACUUUUUUGCACAUCUUGUUGUAGAGAUUUUUAAAAUAUUAUGCGAGAGAAAUAAUUUGCUAAAAGGUGAUAAAGGGUAGGUAGAUGGUAGAUUAGAUACCUAUGACUCAUCGGCAACGGCACACAUGAUCACGAAUACUCGUAGUUCCUUUACAAAUAGUUUCUUAUCUCCUUUUCAUCGCAUCGUUGACAGCUCAUCGUGUCAAUUGUCAUGUAAUUUUGAUUGCUUACUCGUUUGUAUGAAUAUUUCGUCGCAUUUCGGUUGCUCGUGCACUUUUUGUACUGUAUAGUGAUAUUUGCUACGCUAUUUUCGAAUAAUUCGGAUUUUUAAUUGAAUUAGAAUAUGUUCGCGAUUUCUUAUGAAUUAUUAUGAAUUUGGAUAUGUGUUGAUUACGAGUAUAGUACAUUGUGAUUACUUAUUGUUAGGUUUGUACCGGAAGAGGGGAUCGAAAACUGUUCGUGUACUAGAAGGAUGCCAAAUAAAUUGAAGUUGACUGGGAAUACGUUGCUGGAGCAUUUUUAACCAAGAUUAAUGUAAUACCUAGGUAUACGAAGGCCUACAAUUUUACUGAUGUUGCAGUUUGAAACCUUUCAGAGGAGCACAUUGAUUUCAUUGGAUUUCGUAUGCGGAUGCUGUGUCUGAUUUAUUGGUACUUGUGCUUGGAGAAGGAAGGAGGAGUUGGUCUGAGUCGUUGAUUUUGAUGGUGGUUUUGAAAAGUAUUCGAAUCAGUAAUCCGGAAUGGAAGAUUCAAAGCUCGUG
Molecule: long non-coding RNA, 827 nt
Organism: Planococcus citri (citrus mealybug)
Lineage: Eukaryota; Metazoa; Arthropoda; Insecta; Hemiptera; Pseudococcidae
Exons: 3
Source: RefSeq, a predicted model, not a curated record